This 656-nucleotide ribosomal RNA is filed under the name uncultured bacterium. RNAcentral's name for it is "bacterial SSU rRNA". It matches the Rfam family "Bacterial small subunit ribosomal RNA", at positions 1 to 655 of the family's 1533-position model. The record is from RNAcentral.
UGGGCCCGUUUGAUCAUGGCUCAGAUUGAACGCUGGCGGCAUGCCUUACACAUGCAAGUCGAACGGCAGCACGGGAGCAAUCCUGGUGGCGAGUGGCGAACGGGUGAGUAAUGUAUCGGAACGUACCUUUCAGUGGGGGAUAACGUAGCGAAAGUUACGCUAAUACCGCAUAUUCUGUGAGCAGGAAAGCAGGGGAUCGCAAGACCUUGCGCUGAUUGAGCGGCCGAUAUCAGAUUAGCUAGUUGGUGGGGUAAAGGCCUACCAAGGCGACGAUCUGUAGCGGGUCUGAGAGGAUGAUCCGCCACACUGGAACUGAGACACGGUCCAGACUCCUACGGGAGGCAGCAGUGGGGAAUUUUGGACAAUGGGGGCAACCCUGAUCCAGCCAUGCCGCGUGCGGGAAGAAGGCCUUCGGGUUGUAAACCGCUUUUAUUCGGGAAGAAGGAGUCGAGGUUAAUACCUUCGAUGACGGACGGUACUGGAUGAAUAAGCACCGGCUAACUACGUGCCAGCAGCCGCGGUAAUACGUAGGGUGCGAGCGUUAAUCGGAAUUACUGGGCGUAAAGCGUGCGUAGGCGGUUGGCAAAGUCAGCUGUGAAAGCCCCGGGCUUAACCUGGGAAUGGCGGUUGAAACUAGUCGACUAGAAUCUGGCAGA